This 468-nucleotide ribosomal RNA is filed under the name uncultured bacterium. RNAcentral's name for it is "partial 16S ribosomal RNA". It matches the Rfam family "Bacterial small subunit ribosomal RNA", at positions 28 to 507 of the family's 1533-position model. The record is from RNAcentral.
GACGAACGCUGGCGGCGUGCUUCACACAUGCAAGUCGAACGAUGAUGCCAGCUUGCUGGUGGAUUAGUGGCGAACGGGUGAGUAACACGUGAGCAACCUGCCCCUGGCUUCGGGAUAACCGCGGGAAACCGUUGCUAAUACCGCAUAUGACGCGCUCUCGCAUGGUGUUGUUUGGAAAUCUUUUUCGGUUGGGGAUGGCCUCGCGGCCUAGCAGCUUGUUGGUGGGGUGGUGGACUACCAAGGGGACGACGGGUAGGCGGCCUGCGGGGGUGACAGGCCACACUGGGACUGGGAGACGGCGCAGAGUCCUACAGGAGGAAGCGGUGGAGAAGAUUGGACAAUGGGCGCAAGCCUGAUGCAGCGACGCCGCGUGAGGGAGGACGGCCUUCGGGUUGUAGACCUCUUUCAGUAGGGAAGAAGGCCUUCGGGUUGACGGUACCUGCAGAAGAAGCGCCGGCUAACUACGUG